GAACUGAAGAGUUUGAUCAUGGCUCAGAUUGAACGCUGGCGGCAGGCCUAACACAUGCAAGUCGAGCGGAUGAAGGGGGCUUGCUCCUGGAUUCAGCGGCGGACGGGUGAGUAAUGCCUAGGAAUCUGCCUGGUAGUGGGGGAUAACGUCCGGAAACGGGCGCUAAUACCGCAUACGUCCUGAGGGAGAAAGUGGGGGGUCUUCGGACCUCACGCUAUCAGAUGAGCCUAGGUCGGAUUAGCUAGUUGGUGGGGUAAAGGCCUACCAAGGCGACGAUCCGUAACUGGUCUGAGAGGAUGAU
RNAcentral lists this ribosomal RNA (301 nucleotides) under Pseudomonas aeruginosa. RNAcentral's name for it is "partial 16S ribosomal RNA". It matches the Rfam family "Bacterial small subunit ribosomal RNA", at positions 1 to 304 of the family's 1533-position model. The record is from RNAcentral. Lineage: Bacteria; Pseudomonadati; Pseudomonadota; Gammaproteobacteria; Pseudomonadales; Pseudomonadaceae.